GGGCCCGCACAAGCAGCGAGGUAUGUGGUUUAAUUCGAGGCUACACGAAGAACCUUACCUGGGCUUGACAUGUAAGUGAAAGGGUUAAGAAACUAACUCUCUCUUAUGUAGCAAUACAUAAGACACUUACACAGGUGGUGCAUGGUUGUCGUCAGCUCGUGCCGUGAGGUGUAAGGUUAAGUCCUUGAACGAGCGCAACCCUCCCUGUUAUUUGCUAUAAGUUCUUAUGAGCUUAGCACUAUAACAGUACCGCUACCGACAAGGUAGAGGAAGGCGAGGAUGACGUCAAAUCAUCACGCCCCUUAUGUCCAGGGCUACACACAUGCGACAAUGGUUGGUACAGAGGGAAGCAAUAGAGUAAUCUGGAGCAAAUCCCCAAAAACCAGCCCCAGUACAGAUCGAGGGUUGAAACCCACCCUCGUGAAGAUGGAGUUGCUAGUAAACGCAGGUCAGCUACACUGCGUUGAAUAUGUUCCCGGGCCUU
Molecule: ribosomal RNA, 484 nt
Filed under: uncultured bacterium
Lineage: Bacteria
Description: bacterial SSU rRNA
Rfam family: Bacterial small subunit ribosomal RNA
Source: RNAcentral